UACAGAGGGGGCUAGCGUUGUUCGGAAUUACUGGGCGUAAAGGGCGCGUAGGCGGCCCGCUAAGUCGAGCGUGAAAUCCCCGGGCUCAACCCGGGAACUGCGUCCGAUACUGGCAGGCUUGAAUCCGGGAGAGGGAUGUGGAAUUCCAGGUGUAGCGGUGAAAUGCGUAGAUAUCUGGAGGAACACCGGUGGCGAAGGCGGCAUCCUGGACCGGUAUUGACGCUGAGGCGCGAAAGCCAGGGGAGCAAACGGG
This 253-nucleotide ribosomal RNA is filed under the name uncultured bacterium. RNAcentral describes it as "partial 16S ribosomal RNA". It matches the Rfam family "Bacterial small subunit ribosomal RNA", at positions 524 to 776 of the family's 1533-position model. The record is from RNAcentral.